This 691-nucleotide ribosomal RNA is filed under the name uncultured bacterium. Its description in RNAcentral is "bacterial SSU rRNA". It matches the Rfam family "Bacterial small subunit ribosomal RNA", at positions 51 to 780 of the family's 1533-position model. The record is from RNAcentral.
AUGCAUGCAAGUCGUACGCACGCGCUUCGGCGCGUGAGUGGCGCACGGCUGAGUAACACGUGGGAACCCGCCCUCCGGUGGGGGAUAACGCGACGAAAGUCGCGCUAAUCCCGCAUACGUCCGCAAGGGGAAAGCGCUUCGGCGCGCCGGAGGAGGGGCCUGCGGCCCAUCAGGUGGUUGGUGGGGUAACGGCCUACCAAGCCGAUGACGGGUAGCUGGUCUGGGAGGAUGACCAGCCAGACUGGGACUGAGACACGGCCCAGACUCCUACGGGAGGCAGCAGCAAGGAAUUUUCGGCAAUGGGCGCAAGCCUGACCGAGCAACGCCGCGUGCGGGAUGACGGCCUUCGGGUUGUAAACCGCUUUUCGGGGGGACGACUACGACGGUACCCCCGGAAGAAGCCCCGGCUAACUCUGUGCCAGCAGCCGCGGUAAGACAGAGGGGGCGAGCGUUGUCCGGAGUUACUGGGCGUAAAGCGCGCGCAGGCGGUGGUCUCAGUGUCGUGUGAAAGCCCCCGGCUCAACCGGGGGAGGUCAUGGCAAACUAGACGACUGGAGCGGCGGAGAGGCCCCUCGAAUUGCCGGUGUAGCGGUGAAAUGCGUAGAGAUCGGCAGGAAGACCAAGGGGGAAGCCAGGGGGCUGGCCGCUGGCUGACGCUGAGGCGCGACAGCGUGGGGAGCAAACCGGAUUA